Strongylocentrotus purpuratus (purple sea urchin) is the source of this 636-nucleotide long non-coding RNA. RefSeq lists it as uncharacterized. Lineage: Eukaryota; Metazoa; Echinodermata; Echinoidea; Camarodonta; Strongylocentrotidae. The record is from RefSeq and is a predicted model, not a curated record. The transcript is spliced from 2 exons.
GAGAACAUUUGAGUUGUGAGUUUACUUGCGGGGGUGUCCACCGCUACUGCAAACCAAUAUUCAUCCGAGUAGGCGGGGCGAACUCAUGCAUAUUCAUUGCAUUUGCUCACGUGUGCGAGAAAGUUUUCUCCGUGUGUUAUGCGUUGACGAUCUCCGCACCUGCGAUCGAGGCAAAUCACGGUUUCUUCGCUAGUCAUGCAUGCCAGUUGAUCGGCGUGUUCUAGUGUUACAUUUCGCUCUUAUUGUGUUCGUGUGCGUCGUCUGUUGUCUGGAAUACACUAAUUUACUAAGAGAUUUCGCCGAGAGAUAUUUCAUUAUGGAACAUACAAAUACAAGCAUAGAUACUGGAGGAUGCAAGGAACAAGUGAAAAUGUCGGAUAGUGGAAAUAACCUUGAUUUUUCAAGUAAAACUCAUGAAAGGCGACCAGGUUGGUCCUGUGGAAGCGUCUUCGCCUACCUAUGGGGUUUAUCACUCACGGUGUUGUGCUUAGCGUUAGCUGCAAAUCUGGUUCAUACAAAUCGUCAAGUUUCUGAACUCAAGAUGGAAUUUUUAGCCUUGAAACUCGGAGCACACAAGACUGAAAUCGAGAAAAAUGUCAGGACGAUAAAUUCAUCAGAAGUCCACGAAAGCAUCAA